This 397-nucleotide ribosomal RNA is filed under the name uncultured bacterium. RNAcentral describes it as "partial 16S ribosomal RNA". It matches the Rfam family "Bacterial small subunit ribosomal RNA", at positions 523 to 918 of the family's 1533-position model. The record is from RNAcentral.
AUACGUAGGGGGCGAGCGUUGUCCGGAAUGACUGGGCGUAAAGGGCGUGUAGGCGGCCGAUUAAGUCUGGAGUGAAAGUCCUGCUUUCAAGGUGGGAAUUGCUUUGGAGACUGGUUGGCUUGAGUGCGGAAGAGGUAAGCGGAAUUCCCAGUGUAGCGGUGAAAUGCGUAGAGAUUGGGAGGAACACCAGUGGCGAAGGCGACUUACUGGGCCGUAACUGACGCUGAGGCGCGAAAGCGUGGGGAGCGAACAGGAUUAGAUACCCUGGUAGUCCACGCUGUAAACGAUGAAUGCUAGGUGUAGGGGGUAUCGACCCCUCCUGUGCCGGAGUAAACGCAAUAAGCAUUCCGCCUGGGGAGUACGGCCGCAAGGUUGAAACUCAAAGGAAUUGACGGGG